Molecule: transfer RNA, 74 nt
Filed under: Candidatus Falkowiibacteriota bacterium
Lineage: Bacteria; Candidatus Falkowiibacteriota
Description: tRNA-Pro
Rfam family: tRNA
About the family: Transfer RNA (tRNA) molecules are approximately 80 nucleotides in length. Their secondary structure includes four short double-helical elements and three loops (D, anti-codon, and T loops).
Source: RNAcentral
CGGGCCGUAGUAUAAUGGUAGUACGCGAGGCUGGGGGCCUUGUAGCCGGAGUUCAAUUCUCCGCGGCCCGACAA